AUUGAACGCUGGCGGCAGGCCUAACACAUGCCAGUCGAGCGGAUGAAGGGAGCUUGCUCCUGGAUUCAGCGGCGGACGGGUGAGUAAUGCCUAGGAAUCUGCCUGGUAGUGGGGGAUAACGUCCGGAAACGGGCGCUAAUACCGCAUACGUCCUGAGGGAGAAAGUGGGGGAUCUUCGGACCUCACGCUAUCAGAUGAGCCUAGGUCGGAUUAGCUAGUUGGUGGGGUAAAGGCCUACCAAGGCGACGAUCCGUAACUGGUCUGAGAGGAUGAUCAGUCACACGGGAACUGAGACACGGUCCAGACUCCUACGGGAGGCAGCAGUGGGGAAUAUUGGACAAUGGGCGAAAGCCUGAUCCAGCCAUGCCGCGUGUGUGAAGAAGGUCUUCGGAUUGUAAAGCACUUUAAGUUGGGAGGAAGGGCAGUAAGUUAAUACCUUGCUGUUUUGACGUUACCAACAGAAUAAGCACCGGCUAACUUCGUG
Molecule: ribosomal RNA, 484 nt
Filed under: uncultured bacterium
Lineage: Bacteria
Description: partial 16S ribosomal RNA
Rfam family: Bacterial small subunit ribosomal RNA
Source: RNAcentral